Molecule: ribosomal RNA, 253 nt
Filed under: uncultured bacterium
Lineage: Bacteria
Description: partial 16S ribosomal RNA
Rfam family: Bacterial small subunit ribosomal RNA
Source: RNAcentral
UACGGAGGGUGCAAGCGUUAUCCGGAUUUACUGGGUUUAAAGGGAGCGCAGGCGGAUUGGUAAGUCAGUGGUGAAAUACCCGUGCUUAACAUGGGAACUGCCAUUGAUACUAUCAGUCUUGAAUGUUGUUGAGGUUUGCGGAAUGGGUCAUGUAGCGGUGAAAUGCAUAGAUAUGCGGAGGAACACCGAUGGCGAAGGCAAUCCCCUGGGCCUGUACUGACGCUCAUGCACGAAAGCGUGGGGAGCAAACAGG